AAGAGACCCAUACAGAAAGUAGAAAUGGGUACCUCAAGUCAGAAUGACGUUGACAUGAGUUGUAUUCCUCAGGAAACUUUGAAUCAGAUCAAUAAAGCUUCACCAAGAAGGUUGCCCAGGAAACGGGCACAGAAGAGAUCAGUGGGAUCUGAUGAGUAAAUGUUCCUUUGUGCAACAAUUCAGUCUUUGCUUAACCUGCCCUAAUGUUUUUCGGCCUGAUGGGAAUUAGUGCAGAGAAGCCAUGUCACCGUAGAAGGCAACUACUACUUAUGUGUGGACUGAGAAAUCAGAGUCUGUGGCGAUAAUAUUGCUGAAAAUGCACUGCAUUCGUUUUUCUAAUGUAAAAAUCUGGUUUUUUUAAAACCAUUAAAAUCUGUGUGUGUGUGUGUGUGUGUGUGUGUGUGUGUGUGGAUGUGAGCAGUUGGUUUUACCAGAAUCGUUGUUGAACUACCUGAAAUGAGCCUUUAGAAUACUAAAUAUUAUGCUUUUGUCUCUUCCUUUUUGACAUUUUCUGAUUUUCCUCCCCCCCAAAACUCAAUGAAUAUUUGCUCUAUAUGAUUGUUGAUGUCCUGCCUUGAAUAGUUUUAAAGGGAGGAAUUUGUUUCUUUCUUGGAAUAGCUCAAAUUUCAAUUGAUGGCACAAAUUAGUAUUUUGUUGUUGUUGUUUAACAACUAGUAUUCUAAAGGCACAAGCAGGAUUAGCUGCUUUUUGGCAAUAGAAUUGUUUGGUAUUUUGCUGCUGUUUACUAUAAGGCACACCUUCAGAAAACUUCCCAAAUGAAUUCAAGCAAUUUUGGGAUCUCUCUAGCAAACAAAAUUGUGAAACAUGAAAAUUCUGCUGACUUUGAUAUGUAAAACUUAACCCCUUUUUUAACAAAAAGAAAACAGUACAUUUGUGUAAA
Lemur catta (Ring-tailed lemur) is the source of this 901-nucleotide long non-coding RNA. RefSeq lists it as uncharacterized. Lineage: Eukaryota; Metazoa; Chordata; Mammalia; Primates; Lemuridae. The record is from RefSeq and is a predicted model, not a curated record. The transcript is spliced from 2 exons.